GGCCUACCAUGGUGGUAACGGGUAACGGGGUGUUAGGGCACGACACCGGAGAGGGAGCCUGAGAAACGGCUACCACAUCCAAGGAUGGCAGCAGGCGCGCAAAUUACCCAAUCCCGACACGGGGAGGUAGUGACAAUAAAUAACAAUACGGGGUUCUUUUGGAUCUCGUAAUUGGAAUGAGUACAAUUUAAAUCUCUUAACGAGGAACAAUUGGAGGGCAAGUCUGGUGCCAGCAGCCGCGGUAAUUCCAGCUCCAAUAGCGUAUAUUAAAGUUGUUGCAGUUAAAAAGCUCGUAGUUGAAUUUCGGGGUUAGUAGGUUGGUCAUGCCUCUGGUAUGUACUGGUCUCACUGAUUCCUCCUUCCUGAUGAACCGUAAUGCCAUUAAUUUGGUGUUGCGGGGAAUUUGGACUGUUACUUUGAAAAAAUUAGGGUGUUUAAAGCAAGCUAACGCUUGAAUACAUUAGCAUGGAAUAAUGAAAUAGGACGUUCGAUCCUAUUUUGUUGGUUUCUAGGAUUGACGUAAUGAUUAAUAGGGAUAGUUGGGGGCAUUAGUAUUCAAUUGUCAGAGGUGAAAUUCUUGGAUUUAUUGAAGACUAACUACUGCGAAAGCAUUUGCCAAGGAUGUCUUCAUUAAUCAAGAACGAAAGUUAGGGGAUCGAAGACGAUCAGAUACCGUCGUAGUCUUAACCAUAAACUAUGCCGACUAGGGAUCGGAUGAUGUUAAUUUUUUAAUGACUCAUUCGGCGCCUUACG
This 753-nucleotide ribosomal RNA is filed under the name uncultured Glomus. Its description in RNAcentral is "SSU rRNA". It matches the Rfam family "Eukaryotic small subunit ribosomal RNA", at positions 338 to 1092 of the family's 1831-position model. The record is from RNAcentral. Lineage: Eukaryota; Fungi; Glomeromycota; Glomeromycetes; Glomerales; Glomeraceae.